This 515-nucleotide ribosomal RNA is filed under the name uncultured bacterium. Its description in RNAcentral is "partial 16S ribosomal RNA". It matches the Rfam family "Bacterial small subunit ribosomal RNA", at positions 28 to 523 of the family's 1533-position model. The record is from RNAcentral.
GAUGAACGCUGGCGGCGUGCCUAAUACAUGCAAGUCGAGCGAAUGGAUUAAGAGCUUGCUCUUAUGAAGUUAGCGGCGGACGGGUGAGUAACACGUGGAUAACCUGCCCAUAAGACUGGGAUAACUCCGGGAAACCGGGGCUAAUACCGGAUAACAUUUUGAAACGCAGGGUUCGAAAUUGAAAGGCGGCUUCGGCUGGCACUUAUGGAUGGACCCGCAGCGCAUUAGCUAGUGGGUGAGGUAACGGCUCACCAAGGCAACGAUGCGUAGCCGACCUGAGAGGGUGAUCGGCCACACUGGGACUGAGACACGGCCCAGACUCCUACGGGAGGCAGCAGUAGGGAAUCUUCCGCAAUGGACGAAAGUCUGACGGAGCAACGCCGCGUGAGUGAUGAAGGCUUUCGGGUCGUAAAACUCUGUUGUUAGGGAAGAACAAGUGCUAGUUGAAUAAGCUGGCACCUUGACGGUACCUAACCAGAAAGCCACGGCUAACUACGUGCCAGCCGCCGCCGUAA